CACGUAGGCACCAAGCGUUGUCCGGAUUUAUUGGGCGUAAAGAGCUCGUAGGCGGUUCAGUAAGUCGGGUGUGAAAACUUUGGGCUUAACCCAAAGCGUGCAUCCGAUACUGCUGUGACUUGAGUUCGGUAGAGGAGUGGGGAAUUCCUAGUGUAGCGGUGAAAUGCGCAGAUAUUAGGAGGAGCACCGGUGGCGAAGGCGCCACUCUGGGCCGAAACUGACGCUGAGGAGCGAAAGCAUGGGUAGCAAACAGG
RNAcentral lists this ribosomal RNA (254 nucleotides) under uncultured bacterium. Its description in RNAcentral is "partial 16S ribosomal RNA". It matches the Rfam family "Bacterial small subunit ribosomal RNA", at positions 524 to 776 of the family's 1533-position model. The record is from RNAcentral.